UGGUUAAAAAGCUCGUAGUUGGAUCUCAACAGCCUUGAAGCGGUUAACUUUGUAGUUUUACUGCUUUAUAGGCUGUGCUUUUGCUGGAGGUUUAGGGGUGCUCUUGAUCGAGUGUCUCUGGAUGCCAGCAGGUUUACUUUGAAAAAAUUAGAGUGCUCAAAGCAGGCUAAAAUGCCUGAAUAUUCGUGCAUGGAAUAAUAGAAUAGGAUGUCGAUCCUAUUUUGUUGGUUUUCGGGACUCGACAUAAUGAUAAAUAGGGACAGUCGGGGGCAUUUGUAUUCAAACGACAGAGGUGAAAUUCUUGGACCGUUUGAAGACAAACUACUGCGAAAGCAUUUGCCAAGAAUGUUUCCAUUAAUCAAGAACGAAAGUUAGAGGUUCGAAGGCGAUUAGAUACCGCCCUAGUUCUAACCAUAAACGAUGCCAGCUAGCGAUCUGCCUGCGUUUUUACUGUAGACUGGGCAGGAAGCUUCCGGGAAACCAAAGCAUUUGGGUUCCAGGGGGAAGUAUGGUUGCAAAGUUGAAACUUAAAGGAAUUGA
RNAcentral lists this ribosomal RNA (540 nucleotides) under uncultured marine eukaryote. RNAcentral describes it as "SSU rRNA". It matches the Rfam family "Eukaryotic small subunit ribosomal RNA", at positions 616 to 1156 of the family's 1831-position model. The record is from RNAcentral.